This 492-nucleotide ribosomal RNA is filed under the name uncultured bacterium. Its description in RNAcentral is "partial 16S ribosomal RNA". It matches the Rfam family "Bacterial small subunit ribosomal RNA", at positions 28 to 507 of the family's 1533-position model. The record is from RNAcentral.
GAUGAACGCUAGCUACAGGCUUAACACAUGCAAGUCGAGGGGAAACGGCAUCGAAAGCUUGCUUUUGAUGGGCGUCGACCGGCGCACGGGUGAGUAACGCGUAUCCAACCUGCCCAUCACUUGUGAAUAACCUUGCGAAAGUAAGACUAAUGCCCAAUGACAUCCCACGAAGGCAUCCGAAUGGGAUUAAAGAUUUAUCGGUGAUGGAUGGGGAUGCGUCUGAUUAGCUUGUUGGCGGGGUGACGGCCCACCAAGGCAACGAUCAGUAGGGGUUCUGAGGGUAAGGUCCCCCACAGUGGAACUGAGACACGGUCCAAACUGCUACGGGAGGCAGCAGUGAGGAAUAUUGGUCAAUGGGCGAGAGCCUGAACCAGCCAAGUAGCGUGCAGGAUGACGGCCCUAUGGGUUGUAAACUGCUUUUAUAAGGGAAUAAAGUGGGUCACGUGUGACUUUUUGCAUGUACCUUAUGAAUAAGGACCGGCUAAUUCCGUG